RNAcentral lists this long non-coding RNA (437 nucleotides) under Brassica napus (rape). RNAcentral describes it as "long non-coding RNA (BNAP_LNC004545)". Lineage: Eukaryota; Viridiplantae; Streptophyta; Magnoliopsida; Brassicales; Brassicaceae. The record is from RNAcentral.
AGAGGGUAUUUAAUUAAAAGGUGUGAGAGUGAUUCUAGUGUUGACACCUAAGAAAUAGCAAUUUGGUUAAUAACACAUGAGGUCAAGGUUAGUUUAAAUUAAUGCUCCUCAAAUAAUAUAAAAGGGAUAUGUAGAUUCUUGCUGUAAUGAAAAGUUAUUUUUUAAACUAAAGAUUGUUCUAUGUUACUAUGUGGUUUUCAAUAUAAUAUUAAUUCCAAAUAUACAUACAAAAUGAGUAAUUAUUAUUUAUUAAAUAAAUAUGUUGGAUAAAUUAUUGAGAUCAAAAUAAAAUACAAUGUAAAAUAUAUAUGAUUAAUAGACAAUUGAAUUAACUAUAGUUAUAGUAUCUUAAAACGUUGCGGAAAAUGUUUUUUCAUAUUUUAAAAACUAAUUUUAAUAUUAUCUAUCACGAAUAUAGAAAUAAUUUAUCUUAAUGA